RNAcentral lists this ribosomal RNA (253 nucleotides) under uncultured bacterium. RNAcentral describes it as "partial 16S ribosomal RNA". It matches the Rfam family "Bacterial small subunit ribosomal RNA", at positions 524 to 776 of the family's 1533-position model. The record is from RNAcentral.
UACGUAGGGCGCAAGCGUUGUCCGGAAUUAUUGGGCGUAAAGAGCUCGUAGGCGGUUUGUCGCGUCUGCUGUGAAAACCUAAGGCUCAACCCCGGGUCUGCAUUCGAUACGGGCUAGCUAGAGUGUGGUAGGGGAGAUCGGAAUUCCUGGUGUAGCGGUGAAAUGCGCAGAUAUCAGGAGGAACACCGGUGGCGAAGGCGGAUCUCUGGGCAUUACCUGACGCUGAGGAGCGAAAGUGUGGGGAGCGAACAGG